UAAGCAAGUAAAAUAUGGGUUAGGGUUUUAAUAUUUCUCCCUCAUAUUAACCCAUCUCACACCAUUCUUUCUCCAUCUCAUUCAUUGUGUUCUCUCUUCAUUCUCCAACUUCUUCCCCCACCAAAAACAGCCCCGGCAGCCGCCAGGGUUGACCACCACCACCAGCUGCCAGGACCGAGCACCACCCAUGGCCAGUGACAACCGGUCGACGCCCCACAACCGCUAGCUGUUCCCCCCUGCACGCUUCUUCUCUCUCUCUUCUUCCCCCAUUUUUUGUUUCAUGUUCAUGAGAGGAAGGUGGAACUUUAGUUGGGUGAUUAUUGUGAUUUUGUCGUGCAGUGACACUUACAGCAGGGUUAUCAUAGAUAGACAUUACAGGUGAUGGAGCUUCUUUACAUUGCAUAUCGGGGGAAUGAGUGAGAAUCUUAAUGUAUACAAUAAUCUUAUUGUCUACAUGUAGUUUCUUUUAAUUAAACCUUCAACAAUGGAGAUCGAUAAAGUAGAGAAGCCCCAACUAGCAAUAAACCUAUAGAUUGAACAACUAUAUAACUAAAAUAAACUUUGAUUGAAGUAUCUUUGUGAUUUUCAAUGUUGAUUGUAGAAGAUAAAACCUAGAAUUUAAGAACAAGGAUGAAGGAAGAACUAAUAAGCAUAAAAUGAUUCUUGCAAAAUAAGCUAGUACAAGUAGUAAAGGUAAUGUAAAAGGUGUGUUCUCAUAUUAUAAAAUAUCUCCCAUAUAUAGUGAUGCUCAAGAGUGAUGUAACCUAGGUCUUCCAAAACAGAGGAAUAAUCCUUCAAAAUGAUGUAAAAAGGGUCAUCAAAUGAGCGGCCAAGCCAAAAGCCCAUUCAGCGAAGAGAGAACGAUCGGUCGUUCUGGGGGAACGAUCAGUCGUUCCACAUUCUGUCUGCUGAUGUUGCUGUAGGGUACGAGUGGUAGGUCCCACAGGAAAGAUCAUGGACGUUCAACUUUCUGUUCUAUUUCUUCAACGUGCUUCUUCAAGGUUAGGCAACGAGUGGUCGUUCAACUUUCUAAUCUCAAUUCUUCAACAUUCUUCUUCAUGGCUAGGGAACAAGCUAUAAUAAGCUACAUGGCAAUGGAAAAUUAAGGGUUUAUCAAAUACACUAGGUAUGCUAAUGAGGAUGUAUACUCUAUAAAGAGUACUACCUAUACGGUCGACAUAUGUUCUUACUCUCUUCCUUUCUAUAUAUGCGUUCCACU
Molecule: long non-coding RNA, 1219 nt
Organism: Amaranthus tricolor (Joseph's coat)
Lineage: Eukaryota; Viridiplantae; Streptophyta; Magnoliopsida; Caryophyllales; Amaranthaceae
Exons: 3
Source: RefSeq, a predicted model, not a curated record